AAAAUCUUUAUAUCUAAGGCGUUCAACCAGUUUCAACUACAAUAAAUCAAUCUCAAAGCUAUUUCUUAUUACUAACAUGGUAAUGAUUACAAACAACACUUGCUCAGGGAACACUAGUUGGAAUUUACCUUUUAUACCACCACCUGACCAAAAGCCGGUAGUUUUUCCUAUCUGUAAUGAGCUAACCCCAUUUCAGCAGACAGCCAUGGGAAAGAGAAUUUCAGUGUUAUUUGAACUAUCAGGUAUAUAUCCAGACAUCAACAAUUCAAUAGUGAUCGAACAGCUACAUUUUUCCUCUUUUUUUUUUUUUUUUUGGGAAGUCCUGGCCUCCUGGGUGUCUUUGG
This 344-nucleotide unclassified non-coding RNA is filed under the name Hevea brasiliensis (rubber tree). The record is from RNAcentral. Lineage: Eukaryota; Viridiplantae; Streptophyta; Magnoliopsida; Malpighiales; Euphorbiaceae.